UUCGAUUGUCUCUCUUUUUCUUGAAACACUGAGAGACUCCCAAGAGCUGAAGAACUCCUUCUUGCGAAGCUAUUGAAGAGGUUUAAUCAAAGGUGCUAAUCGAUUCUCUCCUUCAAAGAUCACAUUCCGAUUUUUGUACUCAUCCUUGGCAGCAAACGACCCCCUCCACUCUAAUGAAAAGUCCUCUUCUCGUCAGGUUCAUUUCCUAUGAUUCCCCUAGCAAGUACAUAGAGACUCAAUUAGAAGAUACGUUGUCUUAGUCAUGGAGUCCUAGCAUGCCCAUGCUGCAACAAACAAAUGUGUUCCCCCCCCCCAAAAGGU
Molecule: non-coding RNA, 321 nt
Organism: Camellia sinensis
Lineage: Eukaryota; Viridiplantae; Streptophyta; Magnoliopsida; Ericales; Theaceae
Source: RefSeq, a predicted model, not a curated record